AAGUAACUCCGAGUCUCGUCUGCGAUGGAGGAGAUAGGAGUACCGGCUGGUUGGCACAGCCAGCGGUUCACUUGUUCGACCGUAGUGAGGGCUGUUUCGCUCCACGAGAACAGGUUGGUAACCGCGAACCCUAAUAUCCCAACUCGGGGGAUUCCCGCGUCUUUAGGCGCGGGA
Molecule: non-coding RNA, 174 nt
Filed under: Haladaptatus litoreus
Lineage: Archaea; Methanobacteriati; Methanobacteriota; Halobacteria; Halobacteriales; Haladaptataceae
Description: Sense overlapping transcript RNA 0042 (sot)
Rfam family: Sense overlapping transcript RNA 0042 (sot)
About the family: It is associated with IS1341-type transposase (tnpB) genes, at the 3'-end in H. salinarum NRC-1.
Source: Rfam by way of RNAcentral